RNAcentral lists this ribosomal RNA (500 nucleotides) under Nannarrup innuptus. RNAcentral's name for it is "Nannarrup sp. 1-ST-2022 partial 16S ribosomal RNA". It matches the Rfam family "Bacterial large subunit ribosomal RNA", at positions 1819 to 2600 of the family's 2925-position model. Lineage: Eukaryota; Metazoa; Arthropoda; Chilopoda; Geophilomorpha; Mecistocephalidae. The record is from RNAcentral.
GUCUUUUUGUGUUAUUAUAAAAGGUUUGGCCUGCCCGGUGAGUUGUUUAAACGGCCGCGGUAUUUUGACCGUGCGAAGGUAGCAUAAUCAUUAGUCUAUUAAUUGUAGGCUGGAAUGAAGGGUUUAACGGGGAAAUGCUGUCUUUUUAGUACUGGUUUAAUUUUAGGUUUCUGUGAAGACGCAGAUAUUGGGCUAGAAGACGAGAAGACCCUAUCAAGCUUUAUUAGGGGAUUAUCUAGUUAUGUUUGUGUGGUAUUAGUAAUUCUCUUAUUUUUGUUGGGGCGACAGGUGAGGUACAGUAACUUACUUAGUUUUUAUAUUUUUAUCUUGUGUUUUGAUCCUAUUUUUGCAUUCGGAUAAAGUUACUGUAGGGAUAACAGCGUAAUUUUAUUGGAGAGUUCAUAUUGAUAGUGAAGUUUGCGACCUCGAUGUUGGAUUAAGAUUCCUUCUUGUUGAAGAAAGCAAGAUUAGGCGGUCUGUUCGACCGUUAAAUUCUUACA